This 1190-nucleotide long non-coding RNA is filed under the name Chlamydomonas reinhardtii. RNAcentral describes it as "long non-coding RNA (CREI_LNC000068)". Lineage: Eukaryota; Viridiplantae; Chlorophyta; Chlorophyceae; Chlamydomonadales; Chlamydomonadaceae. The record is from RNAcentral.
CGCGCCUGGCGUGCCUCCGCCGUCGCCCGAGCCGCCCAGCCCCGCGCCUGGCGUGCCUCCGCCAUCGCCUGAGCCGCCCAGCCCCGCGCCUGGCGUGCCUCCGCCGUCGCCCGAGCCGCCCAGCCCCGCGCCUGGCGUGCCUCCGCCGUCGCCUGCGCCGCCCAGCCCCGCGCCUGGCGUGCCUCCGCCGUCGCCUGCGCCGCCCAGCCCCGCGCCUGGCGUGCCUCCGCCGUCGCCCGAGCCGCCCAGCCCCGCGCCUGGCGUGCCUCCGACGUCGCCUGCGCCGCCCAGCCCCGCGCCUGGCGUGCCUCCGCCGUCGCCUGCGCCGCCCAGCCCUGCCCCCGGCGUGCCUCCGCCGUCGCCCGAGCCGCCCAGCCCCGCGCCUGGCGUACCUCCGCCGUCGCCUGCGCCGCCCAGCCCCGCGCCUGGCGUACCUCCGCCGUCGCCUGCGCCGCCCAGCCCUGCCCCCGGCGUGCCUCCGCCGUCGCCUGCGCCGCCCAGCCCCGCGCCUGGCGUGCCUCCGCCUUCGCCCGAGCCGCCCAGCCCCGCGCCUGGCGUGCCUCCGCCAUCGCCCGAGCCGCCCAGCCCCGCGCCUGGCGUGCCUCCGCCGUCGCCUGCGCCGCCCAGCCCCUCGCCUGGCGUGCCUCCGCCAUCGCCCGAGCCGCCCAGCCCCGCGCCUGGCGUGCCUCCGCCGUCGCCUGCGCCGCCCAGCCCCUCGCCUGGCGUGCCUCCGCCAUCGCCCGAGCCGCCCAGCCCCGCGCCUGGCGUGCCUCCGCCGUCGCCCGAGCCGCCCAGCCCCGCGCCUGGCGUGCCUCCGCCAUCGCCCGAGCCGCCCAGCCCCGCGCCUGGCGUGCCUCCGCCGUCGCCUGCGCCGCCCAGCCCCGCGCCUGGCGUGCCUCCGCCGUCGCCUGCGCCGCCCAGCCCCGCGCCUGGCGUGCCUCCGCCGUCGCCUGCGCCGCCCAGCCCCGCGCCUGGCGUGCCUCCGCCGUCGCCCGAGCCGCCCAGCCCCGCGCCUGGCGUGCCUCCGACGUCGCCUGCGCCGCCCAGCCCCGCGCCUGGCGUGCCUCCGCCGUCGCCUGCGCCGCCCAGCCCUGCCCCCGGCGUGCCUCCGCCGUCGCCCGAGCCGCCCAGCCCCGCGCCUGGCGUACCUCCGCCGUCGCCUGCGCCGCCCAGCCCCGCGCCUGGCGUAC